GAAAAUAGUUUAUCAUGAUUUUAAAAUGAGUUUGUAAAAUGUUUUUCAUGAUUCAGCUGAAAAUAACCUACAUAAUUACUCUGCAAAACUAAUAAGUUAAAAGAAAAAAUCCUCAAAACCCUAGGCAGUCGCCUCUUUUUCUCAGAAUUUUUUCUUCUUCAAUUGUUUUCUGGCCAACGUCCGAUUUGACUCCGAUUUUGGCAGAAUCUGGAAGUGAAGAUGUUUUAUUGGGUGGUUUUCGGUUGCAUCUGUGAUAGUUCGAUGGGCUAUUCAUUGGAAGACAUGGUGUUAUAAUGUGAAGAGACAAAACUUGAUCUUCUAAUCCAGGUGGAUGAGCAGCCCCAGAGCAGCCGAAAGAGAGAAUCUGAACUGAGAGAUGGAACUUGAGUCCGCCAUGGUGGAAGAGAAACCUCCUCAAGACAGUACCCAGAUGCAAGUGUCAGUGUCAUCACCACAAGAGAACGCGAAGAAAGAUGUUCGAUGGAGGCACUGCAUCAUCAAACGAAGACACCAAGCAACAACUUCAAAGUCCAAAAGAUCUCAACGCUGGAUCUAUUUUGACCAACUCCAUAGACCAGCACAGUUUGCAAGUUUGGGUAAGAGGAUAGACGAGGACGAGGAGAAAAAUUAUGAUGAAGAAGGUUAAGGCAAAACAGCACCAAAUAGGACAUAAAUAGAGUAGCAGCAUUUAGCGGUUAGUCUAGAAAAUGCUUCUUCUGUUGUCAAAAUCUCCUACCUGUUUCCAUGUAUUGUAAUGAAUCAAAGAUUGUACGCCCUUUAAAAAUUCUUUAUCUAUCCUUAUAUG
Long non-coding RNA from Raphanus sativus (radish), 805 nucleotides. RefSeq lists it as uncharacterized. The transcript has 3 exons. NCBI's taxonomy places the organism in Eukaryota, Viridiplantae, Streptophyta, Magnoliopsida, Brassicales, Brassicaceae. The record is from RefSeq and is a predicted model, not a curated record.